This 333-nucleotide unclassified non-coding RNA is filed under the name Lamellodysidea herbacea. RNAcentral's name for it is "sequence contains 28S rRNA gene". Lineage: Eukaryota; Metazoa; Porifera; Demospongiae; Dictyoceratida; Dysideidae. The record is from RNAcentral.
GCAGGGUGACAGAGAUUGUCCCCUGACGUCCGCCGGAGGCAGAGCCGUACUCCUCGCGAGCACGGACCAGCGGCGGUUCGAGUGGGGCCACAAGGCUGCAGGGACGGUACGUCGGGUCGGGCUUGCCCGCUCGACGACUUACAGCCCGGCACGCCGGCACCCCACCCGGACCGAGGAAGGAGGGCAGCUCUUGCCCGGUGUGGUGCACGCCGUAUGGCGGGGCCUCCCGUCGAGGGCGAGACGUGCUGGGUGGACCGCGUGCGGUGCUCACUGUCACGGCGAACCCACGGUCGGAGAGUGUCACUUGUGCACCAGUGCUGCUGGUAUUCGGAC